Molecule: microRNA precursor, 62 nt
Filed under: Callorhinchus milii (elephant shark)
Lineage: Eukaryota; Metazoa; Chordata; Chondrichthyes; Chimaeriformes; Callorhinchidae
Description: Cmi-Mir-210_pre stem-loop
Rfam family: mir-210 microRNA precursor family
Source: RNAcentral
AGCCACUGACUAACGCACAUUGCGCUGUGUUUGAAUACCACUGUGCGUGUGACAGCGGCUAA